GCAAAGUCUGCCGAAAAGACAGAGGAGAAGAAGCAGCGGCUUGGUUCUGAGCAUUGGCAAGCCAAUGUGCAGUUAACGUCAACAUGCCGAGGUGGAUUGGCACCGACUGAAACUGAGGGAAGCGUUUUGAGCCUUUUAUUUUUCAUUUCGUCGUUGAAGAAUACACGAGUUCAACAGGAUAGCAACCACAAACCUGGAGAAUGACUUUAAUGAUGCAUUGGGCCAGCACACACACCACGCUUUGUCACAAUCUUCAAGUCCAAGAAGGGAAAUGUUGGAGAAACAUUGGCUGAGCUUGUGCAACAAAAAGAUUCACGGGUGAGUCUUCAAGAGACUUUAUUAUGAAAAAUGUGGCAGCACUGCGCAUGCUUGUGCUCCGAGGCCUCCCUGUCCUACUUGGUGAUGACCCAAGUAAAUUCUACAACACUUGCUUAACAGUGACAAGGCAUCACAAAGUUUCUGUUGGGGUGCUGACUGUCAUCUCUGAAGAUGAGCCUGGCAUGCCAAAUAAUCUCCACCUGGACAAUAUUGGCUGGGCAUCUUUUGUAGACUCUCAUUUACACAUUUGCAGUAGCCAGUAUGUACCAUGAGCAUCGUUUUAAACCAGCACAAUACACUUUUGAACUGGUGCAAUGUGUAAAGACCUCUAAAUAGAAAACUGUUGAAAUUGUGUCACCAUCAUGAUUUAAUAUGUGUUAGUGUAAAUCUGAUAAUUUUAGGAGAAUGAAACCCGUUUUGUGUAAUGGAGGUUUUCAGCACUUAAGUUACUUCUUAAAGGCAAUCGGUUUGCAUGCUUUUUCCUAAGAAAAGUUAAUUAGAAUUUACAGUGCAUAAUACAUUGACAAAUUGAUGAUCUUCAAUAAUAUCAUUUAUUUUAAAGCUUGGUUUAGCACUGAUUGUUUCAGAGGUUGCAACAUUGACUCAUUUACCACUUCAAAUAUGUGUGAUUGUCAAUGAAUAAUAAAAACAACAUACCCAACUUUGAAAAUGGUCUCCUGUCUUCAGAAAGAGAUCUUUGUUGGAAUUCUAUUCCUUUGCCGGUUUUAUACUGAUUGUGAUCACUUUAAUUUUGGACUCAUUUAACAAAAUCCAGCCCUCAUUCGUUUCCUCGCAGCGACGUGAAUGUUAACAGGUACAAAAACGAUGCUAAACUGGCUUGACCAGAUCUGUGAAGGCUUUAACUUACAUUGUUAAAAGAUUGUGUGACUGCCAGGAACAUCAGGUCUAUUGAAUUUGAACAACAAAGAAUAAAAAAAAAAAAAGUCUCUCGUUUAAGAUUAUUAUUUCGAUAGUGAAAGGUCUGUAAAAUACCAACACAGAUCUCAUCUACGCUGUCUGCAUUAAUAACAUAUAUAACUUUAUAAGAGUUAUAUGGUAGAAUUCAGCGAUUGUUAAAUCAAUACAGCUAAAGUCUAUAUAAGUCUAUUUGUGUAUGACUGUGAAUGGGACAUUGUAAAGCGCUUUGGUAACCUCUAAGGUUAAAAACAAAAAACAGCACUAUAUAAUAGCAGACCAUUUACCAACACCCGUGCCGAUUUAAAUGAUUAAAGAAAUCUUGACAUCAUCGGAUUUGAUU
Molecule: long non-coding RNA, 1576 nt
Organism: Xyrauchen texanus (razorback sucker)
Lineage: Eukaryota; Metazoa; Chordata; Actinopteri; Cypriniformes; Catostomidae
Exons: 4
Source: RefSeq, a predicted model, not a curated record